GUAGGGGGCUAGCGUUGUCCGGAAUCAUUGGGCGUAAAGCGCGUGUAGGCGGCCCGGUAAGUCCGCUGUGAAAGUCGGGGGCUCAACCCUCGAAAGCCGGUGGAUACUGUCGGGCUCGAGUGCGGAAGAGGCGAGUGGAAUUCCUGGUGUAGCGGUGAAAUGCGCAGAUAUCAGGAGGAACACCGAUUGCGAAGGCAGCUCGCUGGGACGUUACUGACGCUGAGACGCGAAAGCGUGGGGAGCAAACAGGAUUAGAUACCCUGGUAGUCCACGCUGUAAACGAUGGGCACUAGGUGUGGGGGGUAUCGACUCCCUCCGUGCCGAAGCUAACGCAUUAAGUGCCCCGCCUGGGGAGUACGGCCGCAAGGCUAAA
This 373-nucleotide ribosomal RNA is filed under the name uncultured bacterium. RNAcentral's name for it is "bacterial SSU rRNA". It matches the Rfam family "Bacterial small subunit ribosomal RNA", at positions 527 to 898 of the family's 1533-position model. The record is from RNAcentral.